RNAcentral lists this long non-coding RNA (454 nucleotides) under Brassica napus (rape). RNAcentral's name for it is "long non-coding RNA (BNAP_LNC022958)". Lineage: Eukaryota; Viridiplantae; Streptophyta; Magnoliopsida; Brassicales; Brassicaceae. The record is from RNAcentral.
AGUCGCUAAUCUUACGUAAACCUAAACCACAAAAGGACGAAUAGUUCGUCAAGCUUGUUAGAGAUUUGAUCUCGACGGCACUAGCAUCCCAUAUCGAUCCAGUUUGUGUGCGUGUGGAUACCGGUAGAGGCACGACGUUUGGAGUGCUUGAAAUUUCGACUUGGUUUAUUUAUCUUUCCGAUGCGAUUAAUCAGGUAUAUCGAAAACCGUAAGAUCUAGAUUUAUUUCAUUAUUUACAUGAGAUCUAGGCAAACCGAAUUCAUAGAUUGAUUUAUAAAUAGUUAUACACCUGCGUGAAUUCCAACAGCCACCAUCUUCGCCACAUCUUCUCAAGUAAACCCUACUUCAAGGUACUCAUUCUUGGGGACUAGCGUUCGCUCCACACUCGACACGAGCAAGACCGUGUUCCGCCAUGUAAUCAUGUCGCGUCCGACGAACCCUUGCGUUUUGAGAA